AGGACGAACGCUGGCGGCGUGCUUAACACAUGCAAGUCGAGCGGAAAGGCCCUUCGGGGUACUCGAGCGGCGAACGGGUGAGUAACACGUGAGCAACCUGCCCUUAGCUUCGGGAUAGCUCCGGGAAACCGGAAUUAAUACCGAAUAUGAUUUUUGCUGACAUCAGCAGAAGUGGUAAAGUUUUCGGCUAGGGAUGGACUCGCGGCCUAUCAGCUAGUUGGUGAGGUAACGGCCCACCAAGGCGACGACGGGUA
This 254-nucleotide ribosomal RNA is filed under the name uncultured bacterium. RNAcentral describes it as "partial small subunit ribosomal RNA". It matches the Rfam family "Bacterial small subunit ribosomal RNA", at positions 26 to 285 of the family's 1533-position model. The record is from RNAcentral.